Molecule: unclassified non-coding RNA, 2371 nt
Filed under: Leishmania donovani
Lineage: Eukaryota; Euglenozoa; Kinetoplastea; Trypanosomatida; Trypanosomatidae
Description: gene:LdHU3.36.2830(CDS-product:Protein_of_unknown _function_DUF72_putative)
Source: RNAcentral
ACCCGCACACAACCGCAAGCACCCAGGCCGGCGUGCUGUGCCGCUUCGCCUUGCUCAUUUGUUUUUUUGUGUCAUCUGCAUCUCCCCUCUCCCCGCACAGUGACACGAGCAGCGCCGGUGUACAGUUCGGUGCUUUUGGAGAGUUCAUUUAUCGAGGAUGCUCGGCGCACAGUCUGCUCCUUCGUUCCUGCCGGCGUCGGCGUUGUCGUCGUCAGCGCCGCAGUGCCCGCCGCCUCAGCAGCUGAUUGAGCGCAGGCCACACGACACACUUGUGCAGCAUUCCCCGUACGGGCCGUCACGGAACACCACCUACGGGUGGGGCAAUCCCUUCCGACCCCCCAUGACCGCCACCGUUCCUAGCCACCCGUGCAUCCACAUCGGGAUCAGCUCGCUGAACGGCGUGCCGACUGUCGGGCAAUCGGACAGGUCGAUGCGCAGCCUGCUGACUCAGUACCGCAAGAAGUUCAACUGCUUGGAGCACUGCUACCCUUACCAUAAGGUAGGAGACGAGGGGACAUGGAAGACGUGGGCGGACAUGGUAAGGAACAGCAAUGCCGCCGACGGCGGCCGCAUCCAUUCACUCAAAACGGUAUCGGCGCCCCCACUACACACCGUUGAAGGCGCCGCUGCCGCUGAUGUCGCCUCCGCGGGAGCGACGCCGUUGUGCCCUCUCACCGUCAACGCCAACCGCUUCUUGUACACCAUCAAGGCGAACAACCUCCUCACUCACGUCAAGCAGCUGCAGAUGGACGACGCGGAUGUGCUGGCUCACGUGCAGGUUUUUUUCCAAGAGCGGUGCCCACUGCUGGAGCCGUUUUUGGGCCCCGUGCUGGUGCAGCUACCGCCGUCCUUUGGGUACUCACCUGAGAACGUGCAGCGACUCACUCGGCUGCAUCAGCUACUUUCCCAAGAGGAAGUGCUGCUGCUAGAGACAAGGUCGGUGUCGCCUAAGGCUUUUUCGUCUUCAGGAACCUCCUCGACAACAGCGCCGUCCUCGAGUGCACCGCGGAGGCAGCGACGCCUCCGCGUCGCUGUGGAGUUCCGAAGUCGCUCGUGGUACCGCGACGAGACGUUCGCCCUCCUGCGCUCCUUUCGCUGGGCGCUUGUGGUGGCGCACCACCACGAUGACCCGACGUACUCGCAAGUGGUCGACACCGGUGCGGGUUUCCUCUACGUCCGUCUACACGGGCCGCUCGGGCGCAACAUGGGCGACUAUGGCCCUUUGGCGAUGCGGCUGUGGGCAGAGAAGAUGGUGCAGUACCUCCGUUCGGAAAGGAGCCCUGCCGAAGGCAGCCCGACGAGUGCAUUACCAGACGAAACGACGCGUGAGGUGUUUAUUUUCCUGAACAACAGCGACUCCAAUGUAGGCGGCACGACGAGCUCGGUCGUGGACGCGACAUGCCUUGCUGAGCAGAUGCGAAACCUACUCCAGUGCAAAUCCUCGCGGCCACCUCCCGCCGAAACUGCGGCUGCUUCACCAUCUCCUCGUGUGAGCGCCGAUCCGCAGCUAGUCAUGGCGUGCGUUGAAGCGAAAACUCCGAUGGCGGUGCCCGAAGACGACUGUCGCGCUUCUUGUGCUCAGCACGUGCAGGACGAGGCGGACACUCCACCGCCCAAGCGACAGUGCACGGCGCAGCGAAGCAGCGGCACGCGCGAAGACGAGGUCGUGAUCGAUUAACGCUGCCGUGAGAGAGGGGCAUGUGGGCCUCGUUACAGCGCCGUUUUCAGCGCCAAGAGGAAUGAGCGAGGCUCAAACCUUUUUUUCCCUCCGGCACACCAUCACAGCUUUCCCUCCUGUGCCAUCUCUAUGCCUAUCGCCCUCGGUCGUGUGCGUGUGCAUCCUUUCGAAACUUCCUGCGUCACUGUUACACUUACACACACCCGCACACGGCGACAUCCACUCAAGCCCACACCCGAGAAGAGGAACAACGCCAAAAAAGGCAGGGGGUAGGUGAGGCUAUGCGGAAGCGCAGAGCCUUGGGCAUUCGGAGCGCACCGCAAUCAACAGAAGUCGUAUGGCGAAACAAAGAGAGACAGCAGGCUUGAGCUGGAGCUCUCGCUUGCCUCGCCUUCUUUCUCUCCAUAUCCCUUCUCGAUGCUGCGCAGCCGGCGGCAAUACAGAGGGCACGCGUCCUUGUGUCUCUUCACUCGGGGCUUGUGUUUGCGCGCACGACGUGGAGCAGCGGAAGCCGCGUCUCUCUCCCUCCCUUGCUGGCCCUCUGCUACUCUGCAUAAAGCCCUCAUCUCUGUAUCCUGCCUAUCCAACUACGAUUUGCAUCUUCUCGGCUUUCGCGUCUUUCCUUUCUCGGCUUCCGCCUUCUGCAUGCGUGUACGUGUGCGUGUCUACGCACACAUCACGGCGUUGGCCAAG